UAAGCAUAUCAAUAAGCGGAGGAAAAGAAACCAACAGGGAUUGCCCCAGUAACGGCGAGUGAAGCGGCAACAGCUCAAAUUUGAAAUCUGGCCCCUAGGGUCCGAGUUGUAAUUUGUAGAGGAUGCUUUUGGUGAGGUGCCGCCCGAGUUCCCUGGAACGGGACGCCGCAGAGGGUGAGAGCCCCGUCUGGCUGGCCACCGAGCCUAUGUAAAGCUCCUUCGACGAGUCGAGUAGUUUGGGAAUGCUGCUCAAAAUGGGAGGUAUAUGUCUUCUAAAGCUAAAUAUUGGCCAGAGACCGAUAGCGCACAAGUAGAGUGAUCGAAAGAUGAAAAGCACCUUGAAAAGAGGGUUAAACAGUACGUGAAAUUGUUGAAAGGGAAGCGCUUGUGACCAGACUUGGGCGCGGCGGAUCAUCCGGGGUUCUCCCCGGUGCACUUCGCCGCGUUCAGGCCAGCAUCAGUUCGGCGCGGGGGAAAAAGGCUUCGGGAACGUGGCUCCUCCGGGAGUGUUAUAGCCCGUUGCAUAAUACCCUGCGCUGGACUGAGGACCGCGCAUCUGCAAGGAUGCUGGCGUAAU
Molecule: ribosomal RNA, 577 nt
Filed under: Trichoderma atroviride
Lineage: Eukaryota; Fungi; Ascomycota; Sordariomycetes; Hypocreales; Hypocreaceae
Description: eukaryotic LSU rRNA
Rfam family: Eukaryotic large subunit ribosomal RNA
Source: RNAcentral